This is a long non-coding RNA of Oncorhynchus tshawytscha (Chinook salmon), 561 nucleotides long. RefSeq lists it as uncharacterized. NCBI's taxonomy places the organism in Eukaryota, Metazoa, Chordata, Actinopteri, Salmoniformes, Salmonidae. The transcript is spliced from 4 exons. The record is from RefSeq and is a predicted model, not a curated record.
UAUUUUUUACUCAUCUCAAUGUUAUAGGGCACAAUGGAGGUGAGGAAAUACCAGAGUCAUAUAAAGAGAGACACUGUAAUGGAACUAUCAGUCUAGUAGGAGAGGAUGAUGACAUGUACCUAGGAGAGGAUGAUGACAUAUACCUAGGAGAGGAUGAUGGAACCAUGUACCUACUUCCCCUGGUUGUGAUCCUGGGUGUUGUGACUGCUGUUCUACUGAUAGUCAUCCUCAUCCUGGUCCUCAAGAUCAGACGAGACUCAAACCGACACAAUACAGGACCUGAUUCUCAAAGGCAAUCACACAAUGAUCAGAUGCAUUGAAUUAUGCCGCCCUGAAUUUCACAUCCAAGAAGAGGAUGAUGGAGAGGAGAAGAGAGAAGGAGCUGGACCCCCAUGUAGUGUAUGCUGCUACAAGAUGAUAAAGUGGAGGAGGAUGGAAGAGGAGGACAAUAAGUUGUCCAUAUCUUUGAAUACAUUAAUUUGCCAUAUCUUAGAAUACAAGUUUAAAUCUUGCUGUAUUGUAUCUGUGUAGUUAAGUUAAACCUAUUGAAAUGUAAAUCAA